Molecule: ribosomal RNA, 339 nt
Filed under: uncultured bacterium
Lineage: Bacteria
Description: bacterial SSU rRNA
Rfam family: Bacterial small subunit ribosomal RNA
Source: RNAcentral
GGGCCCGCACAAGCGGUGGAGUAUGUGGUUUAAUUCGAUGCAACGCGAAGAACCUUACCAGGGUUUGACAUCCUGCGAAUCUCUUGGAAACUUGAGAGUGCCUUCGGGAGCGCAGUGACAGGUGGUGCAUGGCUGUCGUCAGCUCGUGUCGUGAGAUGUUGGGUUAAGUCCCGCAACGAGCGCAACCCUCGUUUUUAGUUAAAUUAUCUAGAAAGACUGCCGGUGACAAACCGGAGGAAGGUGGGGAUGACGUCAAGUCAUCAUGCCCCUUACACCCUGGGCUACACACGUACUACAAUGGACAAGACAAUGAGUCGCAAACCCGUGAGGGCUAGCCAA